RNAcentral lists this transfer RNA (64 nucleotides) under Cavia porcellus (domestic guinea pig). It matches the Rfam family "tRNA". Rfam says of the family: Transfer RNA (tRNA) molecules are approximately 80 nucleotides in length. Their secondary structure includes four short double-helical elements and three loops (D, anti-codon, and T loops). The record is from Rfam by way of RNAcentral. Lineage: Eukaryota; Metazoa; Chordata; Mammalia; Rodentia; Caviidae.
GGGGAUUUAGCUUAGUGGCUCAAGCAUUUGCCUGUUAAGCACAAGAUUAUGAGUCUGAUCCCCA